This 1533-nucleotide ribosomal RNA is filed under the name Triticum aestivum (bread wheat). RNAcentral describes it as "partial small subunit ribosomal RNA". The record is from RNAcentral. Lineage: Eukaryota; Viridiplantae; Streptophyta; Magnoliopsida; Poales; Poaceae.
AUGUGGCCGCGCGGCUUCCUCUUGCGUCUUCUCCUCCGCGUGACCGCUGGCGCCACUGCCCGCCACGCCUGCGCGCGCGUCCACCCGCUCCUCGUGAAGUCCGGCCACGCUUCCGACACUCGCCUCGCCACCGCGCUCGCCGACGCCUAUGCCAAGUCCGGCCUCGUCACGCACGCGCGCAGGGUGUUCGACGAAACGCCGCACAGGGACCUCGUGCUCUGGAACGUCAUGGUCUCCUGCUACUCCUCCCAUGGUCUGCUCCUCGACUCAUGGGCCCUCUUCGCCUCCAUGCGGAGGAGCUCCGGCCUCUCCGGCGACGGCUUCACCUUCAGUGCCUUACUGAGCGCCCGCGCUCCUCCUUCUUCCUGUAGCCAGUACCUGGGGCUCCUGGCGCACGGCCUUGUUCUCAGGCUGGGCCUCCAGCUGGACCUUGUCGUCGCCACCGCGCUCCUCGACAUGUAUGCAAAGUGCGGCCUGGUCGCUGAUGCUCGCCGGGUGUUUGAUGCCAUGCUACUAAGGAACUCUGUAUCCUGGAAUGCCAUCAUUGUCUGCUAUGGCCACCAUGAUGGAGGCAAGGAAGCACUGCAGAUUUUCGCGUCCAUGCUCAGGAAUGAUGAUGGGCGCUGUUGUCGGCCUGACGAGCUCACGCUUGCCAGUUUGCUUAGUUCCUGUGCCAACAUGGCAGCUGCCUAUGAGGCUACCCAGCUUCAUGCUUAUGCCCUCAAAAGGGGCUUACAAGGAUUUCUGCAAGUAGCCAACGCUCUGGUCAUGGCCUAUGGUAAGAAUGGUUUUCUUCAGCAAGCAACACAGACAUUUGCUACCAUCCAUAACCCAGACAUAGUUUCAUGGUCAUCCAUGGUUUCAUCUUUCGCCUACCUUGGGUGUGCCAAGAAUGCAAUCCAUGUGUUUGAAAGAAUGCUCCAACAAGGCGUGCGGCCUGACGGCAUUGCGUUUCUUGGAGUUCUUUCUGCCUGCAGCCAUGCUGGACUCAUUCAACAUGGCCUAAAGUAUUUUCUUCUAAUGACGACGGAUUACCAAAUUGAUCCAUGGCCGCAGCAUCUUGCUUGUCUGGUUGAUCUCCUAGGGAGAGCUGGCAGGGUUCAGGAUGCCUACAACAUUUUACUCAACAUCUCCUGCCAAACAAACAGUGAUGUAAUUGGAGCUUUCCUUGCUGCCUGCAAGACACGAGGCAACAUUGAGUUGGCAAAGUGGGCUGCUGAUAGGCUACUCAGUCUGGAGCCAAACGAGCCAGCAAAUUACCUGCUUAUAUCUAAUGCUUAUGCUGCUGCAGGAGCUUGGAGUGAGCUUGCAAAGGUAAGAAGUCUUAUGAGAAACGUGUGCAGCAACAAGGUGCCUGGUUGUAGCUGGAUAGAAAUAGGUGGAAAGGUUCAGACAUUUGUCUCCAAUGAUAUUUUGCUCCAACAAUCAACAAAUAUGCGACAAAUGAUGGAAAUUCUUGUUACAUUCAUGGAAAAAGAGAGCAAUGACGAUACUCUUUGUAAGGAUUCAGAUUUUAUUUCAGAACGGUUUUGA